Molecule: ribosomal RNA, 511 nt
Filed under: Brevibacterium aureum
Lineage: Bacteria; Bacillati; Actinomycetota; Actinomycetes; Micrococcales; Brevibacteriaceae
Description: bacterial SSU rRNA
Rfam family: Bacterial small subunit ribosomal RNA
Source: RNAcentral
AGGCGACGACGGGUAGCCGGCCUGAGAGGGCGACCGGCCACACUGGGACUGAGACACGGCCCAGACUCCUACGGGAGGCAGCAGUGGGGAAUAUUGCACAAUGGGGGAAACCCUGAUGCAGCGACGCAGCGUGCGGGAUGACGGCCUUCGGGUUGUAAACCGCUUUCAGCAGGGAAGAAGCGAAAGUGACGGUACCUGCAGAAGAAGUACCGGCUAACUACGUGCCAGCAGCCGCGGUAAUACGUAGGGUACGAGCGUUGUCCGGAAUUAUUGGGCGUAAAGAGCUCGUAGGUGGUUGGUCACGUCUGCUGUGGAAACGCAACGCUUAACGUUGCGCGGGCAGUGGGUACGGGCUGACUAGAGUGCAGUAGGGGAGUCUGGAAUUCCUGGUGUAGCGGUGAAAUGCGCAGAUAUCAGGAGGAACACCGGUGGCGAAGGCGGGACUCUGGGCUGUAACUGACACUGAGGAGCGAAAGCAUGGGGAGCGAACAGGAUUAGAUACCCUGGUAGU